RNAcentral lists this non-coding RNA (30 nucleotides) under Homo sapiens (human). The record is from RNAcentral. Lineage: Eukaryota; Metazoa; Chordata; Mammalia; Primates; Hominidae.
UACUGUUGAACAGGGUGUGACACAAUCAGU